This 381-nucleotide ribosomal RNA is filed under the name uncultured eukaryote. RNAcentral describes it as "SSU rRNA". It matches the Rfam family "Eukaryotic small subunit ribosomal RNA", at positions 587 to 972 of the family's 1831-position model. The record is from RNAcentral.
AGCUCCAAUAGCGUAUAUUAAAGUUGUUGCGGUUAAAAAGCUCGUAGUUGGAUUUCUGCUGAGGACGAUCGGUCCGCCCUCUGGGUGUGUAUCUGGCUCGGCCUUGGCAUCUUCUUGGGGAAUGAUACUGCACUUGACUGUGUGGUUCAGAAUCCAGGACUUUUACUUUGAGGAAAUUAGAGUGUUUCAAGCAGGCACACGCCUUGAAUAUAUUAGCAUGGAAUAAUAAGAUAGGACCUUGGUUCUAUUUUGUUGGUUUCUAGAGCUGAGGUAAUGAUUAAUAGGGAUUGUUGGGGGCAUUCGUAUUUAACGCUCAGAGGUGAAAUUCUUGGAUUUGUUAAAGACGGACUACUGCGAAAGCAUUUGCCAAGUAUGUUUUCA